RNAcentral lists this transfer RNA (76 nucleotides) under Erysipelotrichaceae bacterium. RNAcentral describes it as "tRNA-Thr". It matches the Rfam family "tRNA". Rfam says of the family: Transfer RNA (tRNA) molecules are approximately 80 nucleotides in length. Their secondary structure includes four short double-helical elements and three loops (D, anti-codon, and T loops). Further hydrogen bonds mediate the characteristic L-shaped molecular structure. tRNAs have two regions of fundamental functional importance: the anti-codon, which is responsible for specific mRNA codon recognition, and the 3' end, to which the tRNAs corresponding amino acid is attached (by aminoacyl-tRNA synthetases). tRNAs cope with the degeneracy of the genetic code in two manners: having more than one tRNA (with a specific anti-codon) for a particular amino acid; and 'wobble' base-pairing, i.e. permitting non-standard base-pairing at the 3rd anti-codon position. Lineage: Bacteria; Bacillati; Bacillota; Erysipelotrichia; Erysipelotrichales; Erysipelotrichaceae. The record is from RNAcentral. RNAcentral also lists the same sequence under 1 other name.
GCCGACUUAGCUCAACUGGUAGAGCAACUGAUUUGUAAUCAGUAGGUUGCGGGUUCAAGUCCUGUAGUCGGCACCA